CCAAGUCUGGUGAGUUCUCAUGAUGCUUGUCAUGUAUNGUNSGUAAUAMYWAGUAUGCCUUGGAGCAGCAAUGAUGCUUUUUUUUUACUACGGCACCUUCCUCUGUACAGAAUUCUGGUCAUAUAUGCUUGGUCAGUGGUUUGUAUCUGUUACUCUUCCAAUCUUCGGCAGCGGUGGAGACUUUUGGGAUCAGCAGCCGUAGAAGAUGCAGGGCAAAGGCUUAGAAGGGGUUUCUCGUAAUUUUAGCAGAUGUCAGUUGGCUCAGAAUUACGAACGAGGCUUUAACGCAGCUGUACUGUCAUAUACAACAUGUAUAUAUAUAACAGUGAAUAACAUUAAACACCCUAGUUU
This 351-nucleotide long non-coding RNA is filed under the name Hordeum vulgare. Its description in RNAcentral is "long non-coding RNA (HVUL_LNC020569)". The record is from RNAcentral. Lineage: Eukaryota; Viridiplantae; Streptophyta; Magnoliopsida; Poales; Poaceae.